RNAcentral lists this ribosomal RNA (253 nucleotides) under uncultured bacterium. RNAcentral's name for it is "partial 16S ribosomal RNA". It matches the Rfam family "Bacterial small subunit ribosomal RNA", at positions 524 to 776 of the family's 1533-position model. The record is from RNAcentral.
UACGGGGGGGGCAAGCGUUGUUCGGAAUUACUGGGCGUAAAGGGCUCGUAGGUGGCCAACUAAGUCAGACGUGAAAUCCCUCGGCUUAACCGGGGAACUGCGUCUGAUACUGGAUGGCUUGAGUUCGGGAGAGGGAUGCGGAAUUCCAGGUGUAGCGGUGAAAUGCGUAGAUAUCUGGAGGAACACCGGUGGCGAAGGCGGCAUCCUGGACCGACACUGACACUGAGGAGCGAAAGCCGGGGGAGCAAACGGG